CGGCGCGAAUUCGCCCUUCAGCAGCCGCGGUAAUACGUAGGGCGCAAGCGUUAUCCGGAAUUAUCGNUUCGUAAAGAGCUCGUAGGCGGUUUGUCGCGUCUGCUGUGAAAUCCGGAGGCUCAACCUCCGGCCUGCAGNGGGUACGGGCAGACUAGAGUGCGGUAGGGGAGAUUGGAAUUCCUGGUGUAGCGGUGGAAUGCGCAGAUAUCAGGAGGAACACCGAUGGCGAAGGCAGAUCUCUGGGCCGUAACUGACGCUGAGGAGCGAAAGGGUGGGGAGCAAACAGGCUUAGAUACCCUGGUAGUCCACCCCGUAAACGUUGGGAACUAGUUGUGGGGUCCAUUCCACGGAUUCCGUGACGCAGCUAACGCAUUAAGUUCCCCGCCUGGGGAGUACGGCCGCAAGGCUAAAACUCAAAGGAAUUGACGG
Molecule: ribosomal RNA, 429 nt
Filed under: uncultured bacterium
Lineage: Bacteria
Description: bacterial SSU rRNA
Rfam family: Bacterial small subunit ribosomal RNA
Source: RNAcentral